UACGAAGGGGGCUAGCGUUGUUCGGAAUUACUGGGCGUAAAGCGUGCGCAGGCGGCUCAUUAAGUCAGAGGUGAAAGCCCAGGGCUCAACCCUGGAAUUGCCUUUGAAACUAGUGGGCUUGAGUGCGGGAGAGGUGAGUGGAAUUCCCAGUGUAGAGGUGAAAUUCGUAGAUAUUGGGAAGAACACCGGUGGCGAAGGCGGCUCACUGGCCCGUUUCUGACGCUCAUGCACGACAGCGUGGGGAUCAAACAGG
RNAcentral lists this ribosomal RNA (253 nucleotides) under uncultured bacterium. Its description in RNAcentral is "partial 16S ribosomal RNA". It matches the Rfam family "Bacterial small subunit ribosomal RNA", at positions 524 to 776 of the family's 1533-position model. The record is from RNAcentral.